AUAGUUGCAUCAGUGUGUGCCUUAGACGGUCAGUAUCAUGAGGCCAUUGGACACAGGGUGAAAGGCCUCAACACAUAUGGAGAAUGACUUGCAGUGACCCCGCGUCUCUGUGAAGGCCAUGCUCAGGCACCUUCCUUUCAGCUCUUGUGCAGCUCCAGCAGAAAGUGGAAUACCGGCACUCUGGGGGAACUGGAUUGUGCUGUAUUAUAGUGCCAGAAUAGCAGAGCGAUGCCACUCUGGAUUUCCUGAAAUGAGACGGUGCUUGUUGUGAUCAACAGUGAGAAGGAGAGACUGCAGCUGUUCAGAAACAAUGGAGAAAGAGCAGAAGGGAGAUGAGGAGCUAAACUGGAAUAUGACAUCGGAGUUGCCUCUGUGUCUCUUACUGCUGCUUCAUGUCAGGAUCUGGUUUGUGCUAGGGGAAAAGCUGGCAAUACAGACCAAUGUAAGUAUGUAGUCAGUCCCCAAGCAGGACUUGGGAGGUGAGCAAACCCUUCUGGCAGGCUGUUCAGCUCAACCAUCACUGCGAGGCAACUCUGGCCAGUGUAUGAAUUCAAGUGAGGCAGAGGUGGCAUCCUUGCUGCUUGCAACAAUUCCCUGUAAAGGACCAUGAAAGAUCGUUGCAGUUUCGGGGCAGAUCUGUGCAGUGUUACUCUCCAGGUGGUGGUGGAAUAUGGUGUGUUUAAUUUUGUGAGUAUGGUUUCCUUACAUACAGUGGCAUGUGUGACAGCUGUCUGUUGACCUGAACUUACCAGUACCUGUCUUUCAGAAGAGUAGUCCUCAAAUCCUGUUGGCAACUUCAGUUAUUGCUGCCAGCCCUUUGGAUAGCCCCCGAGUUUGCCCCUUGCAAGGUAAAGCCCAUGACCUCCAGAUUGGUGAGGAUCAUGGCUGCUCCCAUGGAACUUUCUGGUUUCCUUCAGGCUGGUAAGAUCAAGUGAAGUGCAGCCCUACCAUUUCUACUGCAGCUCCCCUUAGGAGUAGAAGGCAAAGGGGGCAGGCUGUGGUGAAGAGGAGGCUAAGCACGGAUGGGAGGUUCUGUACAUGCAGGCUCCCUUUUACAAGGCAUUCAUGCAGUAAGACUGCUGAAGAUGAGUGGUGUGGGCUCUGCCCAGGAAAUGUUUCUGUGGCUCUUUGCUUUAGGAGAUGAGGCUGGCUUGCUGCGUCUCCCAGGUAGGCGCUUUGACAGGAGAGUUGUUUCCCAGCCUAUAGGGCUGGUUUUCUUGGGCACAGAGAGAUGGAGACAGAGGCAGAUGAAGUGGCUUGCCUGGAGCCACAGAGCAAAUCUGGGGUGGCAGCAGGCAUGGAGUAUCAGUCUCCACCCAGCUGGUCCUGUGUUCUCAUGGCACAAAACCUCUCUUCUCCUAGCCAUGCUAAUUGCUGCCCUGUGGGCUAAACAUCCAUUGCUGAAAUCCCUGCGGGUCUGGUUUCCCCUUGCUGUCCACAUGCAUGAAGCAUUUUGGCAAGGAGGAAUGUUUAACUGGACAACGUAUCCGCUCGCUCAAACAGCUUAAUACUAAACAUGCUCUGCUGGCAGCUUUUAGGAGACAGGGAGGCAGUGAAGUAAAACAACUUUGAUACCCAAUAAACCUUUUCCCUGUGUGCUCAGAUCUGGGUUGCGAUACCACUGGGUCACAAGCGGUUACCUCAUGCCAGUGUUUCCUGGCAUAACUCUGAGUACAAACACCCGCUCACAUCCUCCCCAUCCUCUUUGAUUUGUGCCCCCUGCACUGUAUUAUAUUACAGUGUAGGGGACGUCCUGACAAGUAAGUACUAAAUGAAGACCUCAGCCAGCACAGGGGAGCUGGCUGAGCAUCUCUACCUCUUGCUCAGUGCCUCCAAUCUUUCUGGUUUCCAGUAGGACACACAGGGCUUUCCCAGCACAUCCCAUUAGGUGGCAAUGCAGUUUCUUCCUCCAUGUGACACUGGAUGAUAAAGGCAGCUGACAUGGGCCCCUCAGCGUGACUGGGGUGAUUUGAGCUUCAGCCUGAGGUCUGCAGAUUGCUGUGGGAUAGGGUGGCGCAGCCAAGUCUCUGAGCACGUAGGAAGGGCACUCUAAGUCUGGUGUCUGCUGUGAUUUUUUUCUGUCAACACCAGGAACAGCCCUGGGAUUUCCCAUCCUCCUGGCUUUCAGGUGCCUUAAAUCACCUGGUGGCUGUGGUGAUCCUAGGGCCAGCCCUGUUGCUUGCUUGGGGUACAUAGGUUCUCUUUCAAAGUGCCAGCACUGCUUUUCCAGCUUUUGGAGCUCAGACUUGCUCUUCCUUCCCAUUACUCAGAAUGAUCAUUUCCUUAUUGCUGUGGUGUCAUCCUUCAAACUACUUUGCCUUCUCUAGGCAGAUCCAUGGCUCAGAGGACCAUGAGGGCUUCAUGGGGGUGCUGGCUCCUAGAUGUCACCCUUUUUCCCUCAGGGACAUCACCUGUGGGCUGCUAAGAACACAGUGAGAAAAGUUUCCCCUGUGCCUCCAGCUCCUUGUGGACUUGGCCACUGUAUCCACAAGCCUGGUGUUUCCUAUCACCUUAUUCUGUGUGAUCUCUAAGCAGGGUAACAGGAGAGAGUACCCAGCUGUGUGGGAUUGGGACAAAUAGGGGCACAGAGCAUCUGCCACAGAGCCAGCAGGGCUUUCCUUGUUCAUUCAUUCACCAGCCUGCAGUCAUUGGCCUUCCUCACAAACUCUGUCCCAGCUCAAGCUUCAAAUGGGUCAAGGCUUCUGCUCUCUACCCUUCUCAGAAGCCUUUUCCAGGCCUGCAGAGGAUGGAGGGAGACACCUGCAAUGCCUCAGACAGGGUGUUCAAGCUCCUGCUCAAGAAACUGCCAGAUGGGGAGUGUUCCCCACUCUGCGUUGGGCGUUGCUGACUGCUGUGGCGCCUCCAGGCCCAAACACCCUCCGACCUGCUCGGCACGCAGCUCUUCGCUCCCCAUACCAUGAGGUGAACAGCCUCCUUUCAGGCUUCAGAGAUAAGGCAAGAGCUCAAUUAAUGAGCAUCUCAGUGGAAAGAUGACCUCAGUGGAAAGAAGAUUGCCCUGUGCCGUUUCUGCUCUGGACGUUUCCCAGCAGGGUCCAACCCAAAGGUCUUCCCUUCCCAGCAGGACGUCUUGGAAGCCAUCUAGUUGGAGAGUUGCAGUGAGUGCUGCAGUAAAGGGAAGGACCAAAACAGACCAGGACUUCCAGCCAUACCUGAUGGCAGCAACGAAAGAGAAUAGGACACAGUGAGGCUGGAGCUGGGUGGGGGUCUGCUUGUGUCUGACCCAAUGCUUGGAUCUAACACUAGCUACAACUUCUUGCAAGGCAGGUACAGAGAGAACAGAGCCAAACUCUUCUUGGUCAUGGGAGAUGGUAUAACAAGGGACAACAACCCUGGGAUGGAGAUUUGAGGGUUCAGGCUGGAUGCUAGGAAAAUCUUGAGGAGUGGCUGCAAAGGAGUGAAUACUGGCUCCCAUCUUUGUGAUAGGAGCGCCAGUUACCACUGUCACUAGCAAAGGAGUUUUUUGAGUUGGCCAGGCUGGCGUUGGCUAGUACCAGAAACCUCAGUGGAAGCUGCAAGAAAUCCUGCAGCCUGCUUCUAUCCUAUUCCCAGAAACUGUGGUCUAACCUUGUGGAAGUCUUCUCCAGUGUGGUACUUUACAGGCAAAACAGACAGAGUGAUUUUGGUGUUUGCACAUUGUUCAGUUGGCAGACUUUUCCCAUUUGCAUUUAGUUUAUUUUUUGUACGAUUAACAGAAAUACGCAGGGUCAGCACAGCAGUUGUCUGAUCUGACAAGUUCCUGCCCUUGGCCACAUCACGUGACACUGAGUUCCCCAAGGCAAAUUGUGUGAAAAGAUGUCUUUUUUUAAUCACUUCUGAAUUUACUGUCUCUUCGUUUUUGCUGAAUGCCCUGUUGUUUGCAGAGUGUGAAUACAAGCUCUGUCCAUGGAAUCAGGAUGGCCCCAAAUGCUGGGCACCAGAGGACCUCAAAGACUCCUUUUCUUGAAUGCACUGAUUUUCAGAAGAGCCCUCCAAGGCAGGGUAAUUACUCUGGCUUUGUGCAACAACCUCGAUCCGGGACGUGGCCCAAGAGGAAGAUGGAGACAGAGGCACAGAGAGAUGCACUUGUGUGGGGGGGACCUGUCAGCUCUGGCAGGAAGUAGCUCUGAACCCUUCUCUGUGUUGCUGAACUUACAUAGCAGUGACCACAUCCUUCAUCUUCCCUACCGUGAUAGCAGGUUCUGUGAAAGCAGCCCUGCAUGCCUGGAAACUAGUGGCAAAGCAGGGGCUGGAGAUGAAAUUGCCGGUAUUAAGCUCACUCCCUCCUCAGCCCUUUCUUACUCUCUAUCCCAUUUGCUUUUUAUCAUGCUUAUAUGUUUUCACCAUUUUGGAGGCCUGAGAGCUCAUUGCUUAGACUCCUGUAUCUUGCUGUGUUAGAGACCCCAGUUUAUCCCAAGGCUGUGGGCUAGCAUGACUGUGCUGCCUGGGCGUGUGAGCACAUCAGCCCAUGUGCACCCCAAUAGGACUUAUUGAUGUGUGGUACUGCAGUGUGGAUGUUCUCUGGGGCCCAAAGCUUGCUGAAAACUCAUCCUAACACAUUCUCUGACUAGCCCACAGAAGCAUGACCACCUUUUUCUUGCAAAGGUGGGCAAAGAGUGGUACACAGAUUUAGAGCAGAAUUUAUCUUUUGGGAAGGUGGGGGAAGUUUUCUCUCCUGUUUUUCUCUGUUCCUCAACAGCUGGGGUUUUCACAGAACAAAAUCCCCUUGUAAGAAACCAGUUUUCUCAGUGUGUCAGAGCUGGUGUCUUUAAUCCCCUCCCAGCCUCCGCCUAUUUGUGGCCUGUGGUCUCCUUUCCUUUUGGUGCAUCCUUAGGAACCAUGGAGCUGGUCUCUGCUGGGAAGAUGCUUGCUUUGACUGAGGUGCUUCAUCCUGCUCCAGUGAGGCUCUUGCUAGCACCUGCUUCCUUUGACUUAAAACAAGAUGUUCUCUGACACCUUUCCCAGGUGUUUAGCAAAGACUGAGUCAUACAGAGGCUGUUGAUUCCCAGGGAGCCAUGCUGACACCUGUGCUUCUCUCCCAGGGACACCUGCAAGCUCUGCACCGGUCAGAAAGGGCUGGUAGGAGAAACAGGGUUGUUCAACAGAGGGCUUCCAAGGCAGUCAGAAAGCUUGUCAGGAGGAAAUCCCUUCAAGAGCCUUUGCUAACUCUCCUGAGCAGAAAUUAAAACGUGCCUUGUAUGAAAAUAGUAAUUGAGCAGAGAAAAAAACACAGGUUUGCUUUCUUUUCUACACUGCCCUGUCAUCCUCCACCACUGCCUUCUGCAUGCUGCGCUCCCUUCUCCCAUCUUGGGCAUGGCUGAGUGAGGGAGACUGUACUUUUAGUGUCCUCCAUCUGACCAGUCAGCAUUCCCUCCCCAUCCCCCUGCAGAGAGCAUCUGGCAGAGAUGUUAAAGAAAGACAGAUCUGACCAGCACCUUUGUGGUAUCUGGGGAAGGGCUGGAGUCAGGAUCUUACUCUAAUCCUGGAGUCCUACCUGGGACAUCCUUCAGAUGGACCAGACUCAAACCUCCACAUGGGCUUCCUGGAUUUGGGAGCAUAGGAACAAAGGGUGACUAAUCAAAGGAACAAUGUAUUGCUGAUGAAUUUUCCAUCUCUUGGAAUUUAAUGGAUGCCUGGGUAUCGGGAAGAGAAAUGCUCCAGCUAAGCUGUGAGGGGUGGAUUAGCAGCAGGGAGGCCAGGGUGAGUCUGGGGUUAGGAAGCUAUAGAGUCAGGAAUGGGGCGUGUGUGGCUCCCACCUUGCCCAGGGACUGGGAGACAAGCCAGGCCAUCAUGAGGGGGUGCAAAAGGAGCAGAGGGUGAGCCCCAUUCACCCCUCUGUGGCCUGGCAGUGAUACCCAGGGAGCAGGAGUAGAGAUGCCCUCCUCCCCCCACCCCCCAGUGCAGCUGGGACAUGCUCCACAAAGACAGCAUCCUUCAUGGUGAUCUGGGGCCCAAUUCUGCGUUCUGUGUCACUGUCAGCUGCAGGGACUUUAAAGUGUUCCCUAAGUGUCACUAGAGGUCACUGCCGCACUGGCUGGGCUCUGGAGCCCGUUCCUCACCUGGAGACUCUACCCAGGUUGACAAGGAGCAAUGGCAGAGAGCCAUCAAGGAGCUUUUGCAGCUGCCCUUGGAGCAGCCCUUCUAGGGCGCUAGACAGAGCUGAGGUUACACUGCAUAUCCUGACCACAGCAGGAGAAGAUGCUUAUUGGGACUGGGGAUGGCAUAGCGAGGAUUUUAUUUCAGACCCACCAUCAAUCCUCAGGUGCUAAACCUGCCUUAGUUUGGGAGGCGAAAAGACAGAGCAGCUAGAUUCUUUAAGACAUAGCUGUAGCAAAAUCUACCUCCACCAGCAAGCGCCUGCCCCCUUCACCAAGAUCAUGGGACUUUUGCUGGCUCCUGCUGGAACUGAACCCAGCUCCUCCCAGGCCACCACACAGCCUCUUCCCUCCCCAGGGCACAGGCUGAACCCUGGGGUCAGGGGAGCUGGCUGUCUCUGGCAGGGGCUGGUCCUCAUCCCAAAGCAACCUGGUGCUGCCACAUGGUACUGGGCAGGAUGAAAUCCCUACCCUAGAUCCUAGUUUUGCACCUGGCCCUUUGGUACAAAACAAAGUGCACUCCCCCCCCCCCCCCCCCCCCGACCUUUGGGAAGGUCAGUCCCUGCCAGCUCAGGGAAGCCAUGUUCAUAGCCACAGUCAGUGAUGAGCUGUCCAAAAUCUUUGUGAUCAGCCAUCUCCAGUUAUGAGUAACCCAUGCGGGGUCCUGGCCAAGGGAUAGGCUUGAAAUGAAAGAAAUGAGUGAGGCGGGACCUCAUGUGUGGAGUGUGGUCCAACCCACAUGCUAGGAGUCAUUACACAGUGGAGCUGUGGACAGAGCAGCUGCUAUACCCCUCCCAAGUGUCCCAUCCUCAGAUUCUGCCUGCCAUGAGCAACUUAUCUGAAGAACAGAAAUAGCUCUGAGGACUGCCAGGUUUGGAGGUGUUUAACACCCACAUGAACACAAACACAGCUGAUUUGUUUCUUAACUGCUUGUCUGUGGGUGCUUCUAGGCUUCGUCUGCGUGGGGUAGCAGUUGUGAGUUUACCUCUGUUUGACUGUGUGCCCUGGUGUCCCAGCUUCAAAAAUCUCUUUGGUUUUCCACUCUCUUUCAUGUCUCAUCUCUUGAAUUUACACUCUUGCAUGAGGGUGCAAACUCCAGAAAGCUGAAGAGUUGGGAAUGCAAUUAUUUUGCAAAGUAUUUCAAUAAAUUACCUGCUUGUUUCUGUAAUAGACAGCAGUUACUUUUCAACUGGA
Long non-coding RNA from Dromaius novaehollandiae (emu), 7286 nucleotides. RefSeq lists it as uncharacterized. The record is from RefSeq and is a predicted model, not a curated record. The transcript has 6 exons. NCBI's taxonomy places the organism in Eukaryota, Metazoa, Chordata, Aves, Casuariiformes, Dromaiidae.